GAUGAAUGCUGGCGGUAUGCUUAACACAUGCAAGUCGAACGGACUCUUCGGAGUUAGUGGCGGACGGGUGAGUAACGCGUGAGAAUCUGGCUUUGGGUUCGGGACAACCACUGGAAACGGUGGCUAAUACCGGAUGUGCCGAGAGGUAAAAGAGAAAUUGCCUGAAGAUGAGCUCGCGUCUGAUUAGCUAGUUGGUGAGGUAAAGGCUCACCAAGGCAGCGAUCAGUAGCUGGUCUGAGAGGAUGACCAGCCACACUGGGACUGAGACACGGCCCAGACUCCUACGGGAGGAAGCAGUGGGGAAUUUUCCGCAAUGGGCGAAAGCCUGACGGAGCAAUACCGCGUGAGGGAAGAAGGCUCUUGGGGUGUAAACCUCUUUUCUUAGGGAAGAACAAAAUGACGGUACCUAAGGAAUCAGCAUCGGCUAACUCCGUG
Molecule: ribosomal RNA, 435 nt
Filed under: uncultured bacterium
Lineage: Bacteria
Description: partial 16S ribosomal RNA
Rfam family: Bacterial small subunit ribosomal RNA
Source: RNAcentral